Molecule: long non-coding RNA, 219 nt
Filed under: Gallus gallus (chicken)
Lineage: Eukaryota; Metazoa; Chordata; Aves; Galliformes; Phasianidae
Source: RNAcentral
GGCGGGGGUCGGGGGGGGGCGCGGCGUUGGUGGUCGCUGUGGGGGUGUCGGUGUCGGUGCCCCCCCCCGGGCGCAGCCCCAGCACUCCCAGCACCCCCCGCGCCUCCGCCCCGGAUGCAGCGGUGGCCAAAGAGCGGCCGCAGGCGGCCAGGCGGCACCCGGCGAGCCACCGUGCGUACUGGGGGGCAUCGCGGCAGCGCAGCUGCACUUCACUCAUCC